GACGAACGCUGGCGGCGUGCCUAAUACAUGCAAGUAGAACGCUGAAGGAGGAGCUUGCUUCUCUGGAUGAGUUGCGAACGGGUGAGUAACGCGUAGGUAACCUGCCUGGUAGCGGGGGAUAACUAUUGGAAACGAUAGCUAAUACCGCACAACAGUAGAUAUCGCAUGAUAUCUACUUGAAAGGUGCAAUUGCAUCACUACCAGAUGGACCUGCGUUGUAUUAGCUAGUUGGUGAGGUAACGGCUCACCAAGGCGACGAUACAUAGCCGACCUGAGAGGGUGAUCGGCCACACUGGGACUGAGACACGGCCCAGACUCCUACGGGAGGCAGCAGUAGGGAAUCUUCGGCAAUGGACGGAAGUCUGACCGAGCAACGCCGCGUGAGUGAAGAAGGUUUUCGGAUCGUAAAGCUCUGUUGUAAGAGAAGAACGAGUGUGAGAGUGGAAAGUUCACACUGUGACGGUAUCUUACCAGAAAGGGACGGCUAACUACGUG
This 495-nucleotide ribosomal RNA is filed under the name uncultured bacterium. Its description in RNAcentral is "partial 16S ribosomal RNA". It matches the Rfam family "Bacterial small subunit ribosomal RNA", at positions 28 to 507 of the family's 1533-position model. The record is from RNAcentral.